ACAGUAAGGAAGUACACGUAUACGAGAGGAGAGAGUGAUAAAAGAGAAGAAAAAAAGAUAGAAGAAAAGAUAAUAAUUCGCUCCUUUUAUCCUCUCUUCAAUAUGAUUACGCGCCCCUCUUCCUCUUACUUCACUCCUUUUC
RNAcentral lists this non-coding RNA (142 nucleotides) under Palpitomonas bilix. The record is from RNAcentral.